ACGAAUCUAUAGGAAUCGGCCACAAAGGCUCGACACGCCACUUCGUCAGUUAGGCAUCGACCCAUAUACUAGGAUAAUACUUCUUUAACUAUCUCCUGUUUAAGGCCCUCAUGAAUUCUUCUUCUUCAAUAGUUUUCAGUAUGUACGCGCUCCCCAGUGCAUAUCGAUUAAUUCUAUACGGCCCUUCCCAAGUAGGCGACCACUUGCCGUAUUUUGGAUCCUUAGACCCUAUUGGCAAGAUUAAUUUCCACACCAGAUCCCCUUGGGAAAACCCCUUGACCUUGAUUCUCCUGUCAUAACGUCUGGUGACCCUUUUCUUGUUUUCCUCAAUCGUAGACCCGCCAAAUCAUCCAGCUCCCCAUUCAUGAGGAUCAAAUAGUCAUCGGCCGUUAAUUGAUAUUGAAGUGACGUACGCCUAGACCCAAUCCCCAACUCCCAAGGAAAUACUGC
RNAcentral lists this long non-coding RNA (450 nucleotides) under Setaria viridis. Its description in RNAcentral is "long non-coding RNA (SVIR_LNC006476)". Lineage: Eukaryota; Viridiplantae; Streptophyta; Magnoliopsida; Poales; Poaceae. The record is from RNAcentral.